This 933-nucleotide long non-coding RNA is filed under the name Homo sapiens (human). RNAcentral describes it as "HSALNT0171891". The record is from RNAcentral. Lineage: Eukaryota; Metazoa; Chordata; Mammalia; Primates; Hominidae.
CUUUUUUUAAUUUUUAUUUUUUUGAUGAGGUCUUUCCAGAUGAGAUCUAUUUUGCAAGACUGGUAUGAAGUUUAAAUGAGAGGGUAGUAUGUAUAAGACACAGCAUCAGCAUCAUGGUAUCUGACAGUCACUGAUGUUUGUACUGUGUCAAUUAGGUAAGUUGAAAUCUAGUUCCUCAAAUGUCCGUUCCCAAUGUGGAUCCAGGAUAGGAUUCACUACAGAAGAAUUUCGUGUAAGUUUGGAAGGAGCAGGUAAGAUUUAUGUAAGAUUUGGAAGCAGCAGCCCUUGUGUUCUGAAGGUUGAUGUAAAUAUCACAUGCCGCUGCAGAUCAUAGAGUGGUUACUGAUCUGCUAACAUACUUUGUUGGUACAGAGCAUUAACUGGCCCACAGCUCCUUCAACUCCCACCAAAUUUUCUAUUUCAGUGUCUCCAAGCCUUGGCGCAAGGCACGUGUAGUUCCAUGGUAAAGGCAUUAGCUUAUGCUACAUAUCGCAUGCUCGUCAAUGUGAAAGAUAGCUGUGAGUUCCAUUUUGUCUUCGUGGGUUCCAGUUUGUCCUGUGGAUUCUAGUUUGUCCUCACUCUCCCUCAAUGCAAUCCAACUUUUCUUCCUGAUUGCUAGCCCUGAUGACCUAUCAUAAACUUCAGGCCCAUUGCUGGAUGCAGAGGGAACAGCCUUCCAUGUACUCAUUCGUCAGCUUUCCUUUGUGAUCUCUGUGGAGAAUUAAGAAGAAAGGAAGAAGGAAAGAGGACCACAUUGCAGAGUUUUUUGCAGGGAAGGGACAGUCGUUGAAAAAAAAAAAAAGCGCUGCUACAGUAUGUGAAAACAUUGGAUGGGAAAGGGAUGAAGGGGGAAUUCUAAGAAGUCUCAUGGGAAACUAAAUGUUUCUAUAGUGUUCAAAAUGUACAAAUAAAGUAUGCGGAAUAUUUUUAAAU